This 232-nucleotide ribosomal RNA is filed under the name uncultured bacterium. RNAcentral describes it as "partial 16S ribosomal RNA". It matches the Rfam family "Bacterial small subunit ribosomal RNA", at positions 118 to 347 of the family's 1533-position model. The record is from RNAcentral.
UGAGUAAUCUGCCUUCAGCUUUGGGAUAACCCUCGGAAACGGGGGCUAAUACCGGGUAUUCACUCUGGGUGGUAUCGUUUGGGGUGGAAAGUUUUUCGGCUGGGGAUGGGCUCGCGGCCUAUCAGCUUGUUGGUGGGGUAAUGGCCUACCAAGGCGGCGACGGGUAGCCGGCCUGAGGAGGGCGACCGGCCACACUGGGACUGAGACACGGCCCAGACUCCGUACGGGAGCA